RNAcentral lists this transfer RNA (82 nucleotides) under Mustela putorius furo (domestic ferret). It matches the Rfam family "tRNA". From Rfam's summary of the family: Transfer RNA (tRNA) molecules are approximately 80 nucleotides in length. Their secondary structure includes four short double-helical elements and three loops (D, anti-codon, and T loops). Lineage: Eukaryota; Metazoa; Chordata; Mammalia; Carnivora; Mustelidae. The record is from Rfam by way of RNAcentral.
GCUCAGUUGGUUAAGUGUCUGACUCUUGAUCUCAGCUCAGGUCUUGAUCUCAGGGUUGUGAGUUCAAGCCUCAUACUGGGCU